RNAcentral lists this transfer-messenger RNA (373 nucleotides) under Chitinophagaceae. RNAcentral's name for it is "Ferruginibacter sp002381005 Standard tmRNA". It matches the Rfam family "transfer-messenger RNA". Rfam says of the family: Bacterial tmRNA, also known as 10Sa RNA or SsrA, is named for its dual tRNA and mRNA-like properties. Its role is to liberate the mRNA from a stalled ribosome. Lineage: Bacteria; Pseudomonadati; Bacteroidota; Chitinophagia; Chitinophagales. The record is from RNAcentral. RNAcentral also lists the same sequence under 1 other name.
GGGGCCGUUUUGGUUUUGACAGCAAAGUUCUUUGUAAGUGUAAGCAUGUACUGCGUUGCGUAAUUAGCAGUUAAAUCUGAAUACGAAAACUUUAAAUGGCAAUACUUCGUAUGCCAUGGCUGCCUAAUCAGUGAUUAGAUAGUCAUUUGGGCCGCAGCACAGGAUUGCCUGUUUCCAGAUGCCGCCGCCGACUCAACAAACAAAACAGGUUGCUGCAGCAGUAUGAUGUUACUGUUGCUUAAGAUAAACAUCUAAGGAAAUCGUUGGUUUGUUAUGUUCCGGCUGUUUCCCUACAAUUAAUGCAUAAAUAAACAUGUAGAAAGCUUACGAUGGGUUUGUUUGGACACCGGUUCGAGCCCGGUCGGCUCCACAU